CACAACCCUCUUCGCUGCCCCAUGAACCAACUAUCUAUGUGUGUACUACCCAAAUUCACCAGCGCUAAGUAUAAUAUAAUUCGUUGAAAACUCUAACAAUACAUCUGUUUCGAUACACGUAAUGGGGAGAUACAGCAGAGUAGUCAAACACACGUUUUUUUUGGAAUCGCCAGACUGGAUUUUCUU
Diprion similis is the source of this 186-nucleotide long non-coding RNA. RefSeq lists it as uncharacterized. The record is from RefSeq and is a predicted model, not a curated record. NCBI's taxonomy places the organism in Eukaryota, Metazoa, Arthropoda, Insecta, Hymenoptera, Diprionidae. The transcript has 3 exons.